AUAAAAUAAUAAUCACAUUUUUAAUAAAAUUUAUGAAUAAGAUUAGUAUUGGAAUGAUUAAACCAAAAAUUAUAUAUGAAAAUUUCUGAUCAAAAUGGAAAAACCAACAAAAACUAAAAUUAAUAUAUACGAAAUAAAAACAGAUUUAUUUGAUAUUUUUUUUUAAGAAAACAACAUUUAGAGAACUUCCGAAACCGAACUGAUACUGAGGACAUACAUUGUUACGCCAACUUCCACUGGGGGACCUGCAACAUAUUUAUCAAUUUUCCAUAAUAUUUUCAUUUUGGACAAAAUUUUCUGAAGGGUGCAUCAUGAAUGAAAACCAAAUCAACUUUGUAAAAUUUGUUUUUAUAACAAAAACAAACAAAGAGAAUUAAAAAAAAGAGCAUACAUAAAGAUAUUGUACUUAUAUUAUUUUAUAUAUAUUUUAUAUAAAUGUAUGUAUAUAUGUAUAAAAGAUAUUAUUUAUAAGAUAUUUAGUAUAUAACAUAUAAUGUUAAUUUUCUUUGUCUAAUUUUAUUAUAUUAUGUUGUAUACACAAUUUUAUGGUCAAAUAUUUAAAUGAUUCAAUUUUUUUUUUGUAUAAAAUAAAUUAAAAGUCGUCUCCAUUAACUUAAUCCCCUUUGUAUAUAUAAUGUAAAAAAUUAAAUGAAAAUUAAAACUAUAAGAACUAAAAUUGGAAAA
Molecule: long non-coding RNA, 684 nt
Organism: Condylostylus longicornis
Lineage: Eukaryota; Metazoa; Arthropoda; Insecta; Diptera; Dolichopodidae
Exons: 3
Source: RefSeq, a predicted model, not a curated record